Molecule: ribosomal RNA, 423 nt
Filed under: uncultured bacterium
Lineage: Bacteria
Description: bacterial SSU rRNA
Rfam family: Bacterial small subunit ribosomal RNA
Source: RNAcentral
AAGACCUCGCGCUAUUGGAGCGGCCGAUGUCCGAUUAGCUAGUUGGUGGGGUAACGGCUCACCAAGGCAACGAUCGGUAGCUGGUCUGAGAGGAUGAUCAGCCACACUGGGACUGAGACACGGCCCAGACUCCUACGGGAGGCAGCAGUGGGGAAUUUUGGACAAUGGGCGCAAGCCUGAUCCAGCCAUGCCGCGUGAGUGAAGAAGGCCUUCGGGUUGUAAAGCUCUUUCGGCCGGAACGAAAUCGUUCGGGCUAAUACCUCGAAUGGAUGACGGUACCGGAAGAAGAAGCACCGGCUAACUACGUGCCAGCAGCCGCGGUAAUACGUAGGGUGCGGGCGUUAAUCGGAAUUACUGGGCGUAAAGCGUGCGCAGGCGGCUUCCUAAGUCAGAUGUGAAAUCCCCGGGCUCAACCUGGGAACU